UUAGGAGCUCACUGGCUUCGGAGUCAUAGGAACUCUGAAGUUAAGCGAGUUCGGGUUAGAGCAAUCCCAGGAUGGGUGACCUACUGAGAAGUUUCUAGUGAGUUCCCAGA
RNAcentral lists this ribosomal RNA (110 nucleotides) under Prunus dulcis (almond). The record is from RNAcentral. Lineage: Eukaryota; Viridiplantae; Streptophyta; Magnoliopsida; Rosales; Rosaceae.